CUGGCGGCAGGCUUAACACAUGCAAGUCGAACGGGCGUAGCAAUACGUCAGUGGCAGACGGGUGAGUAACGCGUGGGAACGUACCUUUUGGUUCGGAACAACACAGGGAAACUUGUGCUAAUACCGGAUAAGCCCUUACGGGGAAAGAUUUAUCGCCGAAAGAUCGGCCCGCGUCUGAUUAGCUAGUUGGUGAGGUAAUGGCUCACCAAGGCGACGAUCAGUAGCUGGUCUGAGAGGAUGAUCAGCCACAUUGGGACUGAGACACGGGCCAAACUCCUACGGGAGGCAGCAGUGGGGAAUAUUGGACAAUGGGCGAAAGCCUGAUCCAGCCAUGCCGCGUGAGUGAUGAAGGCCCUAAGGUUGUAAAGCUCUUUUGUGCGGGAAGAUAAUGACGUNACCGUAAGAAUAAGCCCCGGCUAACUUCGUGCCAUCAGCCGCGGUAAUACGAAGGGGGCUAGCGUUGCUCGGAAUCACUGGGCGUAAAGGGUGCGUAGGCGGGUUUCUAAGUCAGAGGUGAAAGCCUGGAGCUCAACUCCAGAACUGCCUUUGAUACUGGAAGUCUUGAGUAUGGCAGAAGUGAGUGGAACUGCGAGUGUAGAGGUGAAAUUCGUAGAUAUUCGCAAGAACACCAGUGGCGAAAGC
Molecule: ribosomal RNA, 642 nt
Filed under: Rhodopseudomonas palustris
Lineage: Bacteria; Pseudomonadati; Pseudomonadota; Alphaproteobacteria; Hyphomicrobiales; Nitrobacteraceae
Description: bacterial SSU rRNA
Rfam family: Bacterial small subunit ribosomal RNA
Source: RNAcentral